Molecule: ribosomal RNA, 482 nt
Filed under: uncultured bacterium
Lineage: Bacteria
Description: bacterial SSU rRNA
Rfam family: Bacterial small subunit ribosomal RNA
Source: RNAcentral
CGACUCCGCGUGGAGGAUGAAGGCCUUCGGGUUGUAAACUCCUUUUCUCAGGGAAAAUGGUGAUGGUACCCUGAGGAAUAAGCCACGGCUAACUCUGUGCCAGCAGCCGCGGUAAGACAGAGGUGGCGAGCGUUGUUCGUGAAUUACUGGGGUCUUAAAGGGCGUAGUAGGCGGUAAGGUCAAGUCCGAGGUGGAAUCCUAUGGUCUUAACCAUAGAACGGCCUCGGAAACUGCUUUUCUUGAGUCAGUGAGGGGAGGGCGGAAUUCCUGGUGUAGCGGUGAAAUGCGUAGAUAUCAGGAGGAAGGCCUGUGGCGAAGGCGGCCCUCUGGCACUGUACUGACGCUGAGGCGCGAAAGCGUGGGGAGCAAACAGGAUUAGAUACCCUGGUAGUCCACGCCCUAAACGGGUGGGCAUUAGGUGUAGGGCUCGUAAGGGUUCUGUGCCGAAGGAAACCUAUUAAAUGCCCCGCUGGGGAGUACGG